AGGUCUCUAGACGUUACAGAGAACCCCGUACAACCCAAACUGUUAACCUUCAAUACUGCUUUGUACUUACGAUCUUGUAUCCACUGACUGUCCUGUUAGAUUAACCCAAUAAAUUUCAUUCACUCCGCAUACUCAAUCCUAUAGAUACCCUUUUAAUCCUUCAAUCACAGACGUAACUCGAUUUUACAAAACAGUCAAGAGUAUUCAAACCCACUUCAUUUAAAAAUCCCGAUUCACCAUUACAACACUGACUUCAGCAGCGAUUGCCUCAGUCUUCCCAAAACUCUACGAAGA
This 294-nucleotide long non-coding RNA is filed under the name Physcomitrium patens. RNAcentral describes it as "long non-coding RNA (PPAT_LNC003056)". Lineage: Eukaryota; Viridiplantae; Streptophyta; Bryopsida; Funariales; Funariaceae. The record is from RNAcentral.